Molecule: ribosomal RNA, 274 nt
Filed under: uncultured bacterium
Lineage: Bacteria
Description: partial 16S ribosomal RNA
Rfam family: Bacterial small subunit ribosomal RNA
Source: RNAcentral
AUACGGAGGGUGCGAGCGUUGUUCGGAAUCACUGGGCGUAAAGGGCGCGCAGGCGGUCUGUCAAGUCAGAUGUGAAAGCCCACGGCUCAACCGUGGUCGUGCAUCUGAAACUGGCAGACUCGAGUACCGGAGGGGAAAGUGGAAUUCCCGGUGUAGAGGUGAAAUUCGUAGAUAUCGGGAGGAAUACCGGAGGCGAAGGCGACUUUCUGGACGGAUACUGACGCUGAGGCGCGAAAGCGUGGGGAGCGAACAGGAUUAGAUACCCUAGUAGUCC